RNAcentral lists this ribosomal RNA (103 nucleotides) under Borassus flabellifer. RNAcentral describes it as "4.5S ribosomal RNA". The record is from RNAcentral. Lineage: Eukaryota; Viridiplantae; Streptophyta; Magnoliopsida; Arecales; Arecaceae.
UAAGGUCACGGCGAGACGAGCCGUUUAUCAUUACGAUAGGUGUCAAGUGGAAGUGCAGUGAUGUAUGCAGCUGAGGCAUCCUAACAGACCGAGAGAUUUGAUC